GGAUUCAGGAACAAGGAAGAGAUGUUAUUCACCACCACCACCACCACCACCACUCUCUCUGUCUCUCUCUCUCUCUUUCCCCCCACGAGCCUCCUCUCCCACCAAAAACUUCUCAAGACACCCACUACCUCCUCUCCCAGCUAGAUAGAUCCCAUCACAAAAGCAGAACUAUCAAUGAAGAGGAAGGAAAUUGGAGAAGAAGAAGAAAGGAAGAUAGAGUCGACCAUGACAUCAGUUGGCUGGAAGUAGAUGAAGAGGCAAUACCCGAUCACAAGCUCAAUUGAAGUUCCAACUCCAAAAUCGCAAAAACCCAAAAUCGAACUCAGAAUACCCAUCUCUAAUCUGCCCUUAAAAUUUCUGUUUCUAGUAGCUGUCCACCAAAGGGUUUUAGAAUUUUUCUUAUUUAGUUCCUAAGAUAGUAUUUGAUUCAUUGAGCUGAUGCUGCUACAUGGACAGGGACACCUGCGAUGUUUUUUCAGAAUGCCCCACCCAUGAAUUUCUUUCCAUUUCUGGAAAAUUCAAGGAAUGUGCCAACAACUCUUAGAGACUUUAAAUCCAUGGAUUUGUUCCCUCAACAAGCUGGUUUUGGCUCCUGUGUCCCAUAGAAGAGUAUGCGAAUGGGAAUGGGAAUGUAAUGUAAGUAGCAGAAAAGAAUGCUCAGUUGGCAGGGCCACUUGUGAAUGUGAAGCAUGAGGAUGGUGAUGACUGAUGAACAAUUGCAAGAGAUUAUUUGAUUCGGUGUAAAAACACUUAUUCGACUUUGGAUAGCAGAGGGGUUUGUGGAACAAGUUAGAGGGGCUAAGGGAGUGUCUUUGGAGCUGUCACAUGAGCAAGGACUUCCCUCUCCUUUUACAUAUUCUUCCCCUUGAUUCAGGAACGGAGAGUUUUAGCUGACGAAAUUCAAAACUUUGGCACCUGUUAGAUUGAAUUAGGCUUGUGGGUUUUGAAUUGGUCAGUGUUAAGUAUCUAACGCAAAAUAAAUUGGCAACGAGUGGUCGUCCAAGGUUAUCCAAGGCUUGAAAUUCACUCUGUGAGAUUUUAUAUUAUUGAGAACGGUUGGUGGACGUUGUUCUAGCUCCGGUACCUGUUUUCUUGGGUUUUGAACCAAAGUUGAUAGAAACUAGAGCCUUAAAAACCUUAU
Prunus mume (Japanese apricot) is the source of this 1141-nucleotide long non-coding RNA. RefSeq lists it as uncharacterized. The record is from RefSeq and is a predicted model, not a curated record. Lineage: Eukaryota; Viridiplantae; Streptophyta; Magnoliopsida; Rosales; Rosaceae.